This 253-nucleotide ribosomal RNA is filed under the name uncultured bacterium. Its description in RNAcentral is "partial 16S ribosomal RNA". It matches the Rfam family "Bacterial small subunit ribosomal RNA", at positions 524 to 776 of the family's 1533-position model. The record is from RNAcentral.
UACGUAGGGUGCGAGCGUUACUCGGAAUUACUGGGCGUAAAGGGCGCGUAGGCGGCUUUGCGUGUCUUUCGUGAAAUCCCUCGGCUCAACUGAGGACGUGCGGAAGAAACUGCAGGGCUGGAGUCCGGGAGAGGAGGGUGGAAUUCCUGGUGUAGCGGUGAAAUGCGUAGAUAUCAGGAGGAACACCGGUGGCGAAGGCGGCAUCCUGGACCAUGACUGACGCUGAGGAGCGAAAGCCAGGGGAGCAAACAGG